This 595-nucleotide ribosomal RNA is filed under the name Lactobacillus gasseri. RNAcentral's name for it is "bacterial SSU rRNA". It matches the Rfam family "Bacterial small subunit ribosomal RNA", at positions 371 to 957 of the family's 1533-position model. The record is from RNAcentral. Lineage: Bacteria; Bacillati; Bacillota; Bacilli; Lactobacillales; Lactobacillaceae.
AUGGACGCAAGUCUGAUGGAGCAACGCCGCGUGAGUGAAGAAGGGUCUCGGCUCGUAAAGCUCUGUUGGUAGUGAAGAAAGAUAGAGGUAGUAACUGGCCUUUAUUUGACGGUAAUUACUUAGAAAGUCACGGCUAACUACGUGCCAGCAGCCGCGGUAAUACGUAGGUGGCAAGCGUUGUCCGGAUUUAUUGGGCGUAAAGCGAGUGCAGGCGGUUCAAUAAGUCUGAUGUGAAAGCCUUCGGCUCAACCGGAGAAUUGCAUCAGAAACUGUUGAACUUGAGUGCAGAAGAGGAGAGUGGAACUCCAUGUGUAGCGGUGGAAUGCAUAGAUAUAUGGAUGAACACCAGUGGCGAAGGCGGCUCUCUGGUCUGCAACUGACGCUGAGGCUCGGAAGCAUGGGUAGCGAACAGGAUUAGAUACCCUGGUAGUUCAUGCCGUAAACGAUGAGUGCUAAGUGUUGGGAAGUUUCCGCCUCUCAGUGCUGCAGCUAACGCAUUAAGCACUCCGCCUGGGGAGUACGACUGCAAGGUUGAAACUCAAAGGAAUUGACGGGGGCCCGCACAAGCGGUGGAGCAUGUGGUUUAAUUCGAAGC